UUGGGCCUGGCUGGCCGGUCCGCCUCACCGCGUGUACUGGUCCGGCCGGGCCUUUCCCUCUGUGGAACCUCAUGCCCUUCACUGGGUGUGGCGGGGAAACAGGACUUUUACUUUGAAAAAAUUAGAGUGCUCCAGGCAGGCCUAUGCUCGAAUACAUUAGCAUGGAAUAAUAAAAUAGGACGUGUGGUUCUAUUUUGUUGGUUUCUAGGACCGCCGUAAUAAUUAAUAGGGACAGUCGGGGGCAUCAGUAUUCAAUUGUCAGAGGUGAAAUUCUUGGAUUUAUUGAAGACUAACUACUGCGAAAGCAUUUGCCAAGGAUGUUUUCAUUAAUCAGGAACGAAAGUUAGGGGAUCGAAGACGAUCAGAUACCGUCGUAGUCUUAACCAUAGACUAUGCCGACUAGGGAUCGGACGAUGUUAUUUUUUGACGCGUUCGG
This 436-nucleotide ribosomal RNA is filed under the name uncultured Lecanicillium. RNAcentral's name for it is "SSU rRNA". It matches the Rfam family "Eukaryotic small subunit ribosomal RNA", at positions 641 to 1083 of the family's 1831-position model. Lineage: Eukaryota; Fungi; Ascomycota; Sordariomycetes; Hypocreales; Cordycipitaceae. The record is from RNAcentral.